Molecule: ribosomal RNA, 468 nt
Filed under: uncultured bacterium
Lineage: Bacteria
Description: partial 16S ribosomal RNA
Rfam family: Bacterial small subunit ribosomal RNA
Source: RNAcentral
GACGAACGCUGGCGGCGUGCUUAACACAUGCAAGUCGAACGGAAAGGCCCUGCUUUUGUGGGGUGCUCGAGUGGCGAACGGGUGAGUAACACGUGAGUAACCUGCCCUUGACUUUGGGAUAACUUCAGGAAACUGGGGCUAAUACCGGAUAGGAGCUCCUGCUGCAUGGUGGGGGUUGGAAAGUUUCGGCGGUUGGGGAUGGACUCGAGGCUUAUCAGCUUGUUGGUGGGGUAGUGGCUUACCAAGGCUUUGACGGGUAGCCGGCCUGAGAGGGUGACCGGCCACAUUGGGACUGCGGUACGGCCCAGACUCCUACGGGAGGCAGCAGUGGGGAAUAUUGCACAGUGGGCGGAAGCCUGAUGCAGCAACGCCGCGUGCGGGAUGACGGCCUUCGGGUUGUAAACCGCUUUCGCCUGUGACGAAGCGUGAGUGACGGUAAUGGGUAAAGAAGCACCGGCUAACUACGUG